RNAcentral lists this ribosomal RNA (125 nucleotides) under Jaculus jaculus (lesser Egyptian jerboa). Lineage: Eukaryota; Metazoa; Chordata; Mammalia; Rodentia; Dipodidae. The record is from RNAcentral.
UCUUGUGUAUGGCCAUACCACUCUGAACACACCCAAUCUGAUCUUGGAAGCUAAGCAGGGCUGGGCCUGGUUUGUACUUGGAUGGGAGAAAAUGUAUUCUAUCAUCAGAUUCAGGUAUGCAAGGG